Molecule: non-coding RNA, 29 nt
Filed under: Mus musculus (house mouse)
Lineage: Eukaryota; Metazoa; Chordata; Mammalia; Rodentia; Muridae
Source: RNAcentral
UUGUGAAGGGUGUUGUUUACCUAAUUCCU